ACGCAGUCUGAUGGAGCACGCCGCGUGAGUGAGAAGGCUUUCGGGUCGUAAAACUCUGUUGUUGGAGAAGAAUGGUCGGCAGAGUAACUGUUGUCGGCGUGACGGUAUCCAACCAGAAAGCCACGGCUAACUACGUGCCAGCAGCCGCGGUAAUACGUAGGUGGCAAGCGUUAUCCGGAUUUAUUGGGCGUAAAGCGAGCGCAGGCGGUUUUUUAAGUCUGAUGUGAAAGCCCUCGGCUUAACCGAGGAAGUGCAUCGGAAACUGGAAAACUUGAGUGCAGAAGAGGACAGUGGAACUCCAUGUGUAGCGGUGAAAUGCGUAGAUAUAUGGAAGAACACCAGUGGCGAAGGCGGCUGUCUGGUCUGUAACUGACGCUGAGGCUCGAAAGCAUGGGUAGCGAACAGGAUUAGAUACC
RNAcentral lists this ribosomal RNA (416 nucleotides) under Lacticaseibacillus rhamnosus. Its description in RNAcentral is "bacterial SSU rRNA". It matches the Rfam family "Bacterial small subunit ribosomal RNA", at positions 375 to 786 of the family's 1533-position model. Lineage: Bacteria; Bacillati; Bacillota; Bacilli; Lactobacillales; Lactobacillaceae. The record is from RNAcentral.